UUACUAUCUGCGAUAUGGAAGAUUCGAACCUGCCGCAGGUUCGGGUCGAACGCAGUGAGACAACGGAGCCGCUUGCGGCGACGGCCCGAAGGGCGAGCGAAGCGAGUCAUCCUGCACGACCCACCA
Molecule: small RNA, 126 nt
Filed under: Salmonella enterica
Lineage: Bacteria; Pseudomonadati; Pseudomonadota; Gammaproteobacteria; Enterobacterales; Enterobacteriaceae
Also listed under: 2 other names
Description: RtT sRNA
Rfam family: RtT RNA
About the family: This family represents a bacterial cis-regulatory element known as RtT RNA. The exact function of RtT is unknown although it is thought that it may be involved in changing the cellular response in relation to amino acid starvation.
Source: RNAcentral